UUAAUAUUACACCAUUGCCAUGUACGGGUUAUUAAUUACUAUACUUAUAUGUUAACAGACACAACAGACGCUCUCCGUUGUACUCAAUCAGUCAUUAAAAGGAUACCGUGCAGGAAAUUUAAGCAGUGUUGGAAAUAUCCUCCACCAUGAAAAUCGGCGCUAUCACAGUCUUCAUCUUUAUUAGUCUUGCUGAAGGAGCGAGAUUAACCCAACACUCGGACCCAACUUCAUGCACUAAGAUUGCGUACAACAAAUGUUCCAAACUCAUCGUACAGAAUUCACUACUGCACAUUUCGAGGAAUCUAUGCAGUUUUUACUUUCAUUGGAAAGACUGUGUAACAGCGAGGACUGAACUGUGUAAGUCACGUGACGAUAAUGCAUUCAAUGGUUGGUUGGACCAGCACUGCACCAUACUACGUCACAGGCUCCGAAAAGUAUGAGUGGAAUCUUCAUGGUAGACGAAAAGGAAGGAGUACUCAAACUACUGUGUGAAUCAAAUAGGAGACAUACUUUAUUCCUCUUAAUUCAGAGACUGGUCAAAGUUAACUAGUUUUUCAUAGCACAAAGAAGAAUUAGACUUAUAAUCACAAAUAUAGUAAACAUAUUGUGUGCAUGUACAAUACAUACAAUUCAUGUAUCACUAUACUGACACCUUUACCUGGAGUAAUGACAUAAUGUGGUGGCGGAUCCAGAAAAAAUUCAAAAGGUGGUUGCAACCCAACUCUGUACCUUUUCCGCACAAGAAAGUGGGUUGAAACCCCAAAAAUGACCCCCCCCCCAAAAAAAAAUCCUAAAAGAAAACCCAACCCCAGACCCUUUAAACACAUCAAUGUUCAACUCAGGGGCGGGGUUUGUAAAUCCCAAUAAAUCCGCCACUACCGUGUCUUCAUCAGACCAAGAGAUAUACUAAUAGCAUGCAUUCUUUGUAGACAGUAGAUAUUGUUUUCACAGUUGUUAGUGGAUCCAUUGAUAGAACUUUCAAUACACUGCAGUAGAAAA
Long non-coding RNA from Ostrea edulis (European flat oyster), 999 nucleotides. RefSeq lists it as uncharacterized. The record is from RefSeq and is a predicted model, not a curated record. The transcript is spliced from 4 exons. Lineage: Eukaryota; Metazoa; Mollusca; Bivalvia; Ostreida; Ostreidae.